GACGAACGCUGGCGGCGUGCUUAACACAUGCAAGUCGAACGGAAAGGCCCUGCUUUUGUGGGGUGCUCGAGUGGCGAACGGGUGAGUAACACGUGAGUAACCUGCCCUUGACUUUGGGAUAACUUCAGGAAACUGGGGCUAAUACCGGAUAGGAGCUCCUGCUGCAUGGUGGGGGUUGGAAAGUUUCGGCGGUUGGGGAUGGACUCGAGGCUUAUCAGCUUGUUGGUGGGGUAGUGGCUUACCAAGGCUUUGACGGGUAGCCGGCCUGAGAGGGUGACCGGCCACAUUGGGACUGAGAUACGGCCCAGACUCCUACGGGAGGCAGCAGUGGGGAAUAUUGCACAAUGGGCGGAAGCCUGAUGCAGCAACGCCGCGUGCGGGAUGACGGCCUUCGGGUUGUAAACCGCUUUCGACUGUGACGAAGCGUGAGUGACGGUAAUGGGUAAAGAAGCCCCGGCUAACUACGUG
Molecule: ribosomal RNA, 468 nt
Filed under: uncultured bacterium
Lineage: Bacteria
Description: partial 16S ribosomal RNA
Rfam family: Bacterial small subunit ribosomal RNA
Source: RNAcentral